Molecule: non-coding RNA, 70 nt
Organism: Phrynosoma platyrhinos (Desert horned lizard)
Lineage: Eukaryota; Metazoa; Chordata; Lepidosauria; Squamata; Phrynosomatidae
Source: the annotation of a GenBank genome assembly
GACAGCGUGGGGUAGUGGUUUGAGCUUUGGACUACGACUUGAGACCUGGGUUCAAUUCCCAGCUGAGACA